GACAUUAACAGUUGUCUGAUUGCCGGAGGCAAGCGAAAACCCAGUUUGGACAGGUGAAACUCAAUACACACUUGUCCAAUGGGGCAAGUGAUUAUUUCAGUAGGAAAUAUGAUGAUUUUGAUUGUGUUAUGGAUUAGAAAAUAAAGUCAAUUUCCAUUUUUUUUUUCUCUUUACAGAAUCAUCAAUUCUUUUAGGCCCCUGUCUAGUACAUUGUAGAUCGAUUCUUUUAUGCCCGUCUAGUACAUUGUAGAUCGACUCUUUUAGGCCCCUGUCUAGUACAUUGUAAAUCGAUUCUUUUAUGCCCCUGUCUAGUACAUUGUAAAUCGAUUCUUUAAGGCCCCUGUCUAGUACAUUGUAGAUCGACUCUUUUAGGCCCCUGUCUAGUACAUUGUAAAUCGAUUCUUUUAGGCCCCUGUCUAGUACAUCGUAAAUCGAUUCUUUUAGGCCCCUGUCUAGUACAUUGUAGAUCGACUCUUUUAGGCCCCUGUCUAGUACAUUGUAAAUCGAUUCUUUUAGGCCCCUGUCUAGUACAUUGUAGAUCGUAACGUGUCCUAUCCGAUCAGGAACUCGUUCCUAAUAACAUAACUAUCCAACGUACAACUUAUCUUAGUCAUGUUUGUGAGAAAAUCGCUUCACAACUGUCCCUGGAAGUAGCAUUCAGAGAGAAAACAAUUUUAAAAAGAAAGGCAAUGUUGAAAAUAAAAAUAAAUUUCAAUUAAAAAGAAAAAGUGAGUUUUAGGCAGCUUGAUAAUCCUGAUUUACAGGUUUAAGUGGUACUGACAGUAGUAUGGUCAGUAUCUUGUGUCAGAAAUUCAGCACUAGCGUGGCACUACUUUGUAUUUUCUUACCCAUAAUGCAAUUUACAGAAUAGAUGGUUUUCAUAUGACGUAUUUUGACCCCGAGUUAUUCCCCUUGGCCGCCAUCUUGUAGGUCAAACUGGUGGAUUUUCCUCUUUGGGCAACCAAUUUCAAACAUUGACCAGAAUAACAAGGCUGAUUUUGGUUGAAUAAUGAAGGAAUCCGGGUAUGUUAACCUACAAUAUGGCGGCCAAUGGGAAAUAACUCUUGCUUAAUCGCUUCGAUGGAAAACCAUCUAUUGAUACAUAGUAGCAUCUAUGCACAUUUUUAUUGACUUAAAACUAAUUUGUAACACUUUUGAAAUGUUUUAUUUUCAUUUUUUAAUUAUAAUCAUAUACACUGUAAACAUAUCAAAAUAUCACUGCAAGUGUGCAUCCCUUGUGACAAGGGACAAGGCUUGUCUGUUUUCUUGUGGUGAAAAGAUUUAUUUCUCUACCAAGGCCUUUGUCGUUUUCUUAUCUGUAACUUUGACAUUUAGAUUUUAUUUUGACAUCAAAUGCACUCAGCUACAACAAUGUCCCACAAUUAGGCAACCCAUAAAGCAUGUAUGAAAUCAUUAAUAAUCUGCUAUGUAUAAGUCACAGUUGUAUGUAGAAGUCACAGUUGUAACCUUGCUCUUGCAUUUAGUCGUGUAAAGAAAGAAAACUGGGCUAUUCACCGAUUGUGGUUGACCCCGUAAAGAAGAUACAGUAAUUAAAAUUAUUGGCUAAAAGGUGUAUUAGAGUAAAAAUAUUUCGAACACCAAAGUCGUUCAAUCGGACAUAUGAAAGUUUGACUUUAAGUGAGAUAAAAAGUUAAUGUCUAUCCCUGUCCCCAGAGUAAAUAAAAAGUUAAUGUCUAUCCCUGUCCCCAGAGUAAAUAAAAAGUUAAUGUCUAUCCCUGUCCCCAGA
Ostrea edulis (European flat oyster) is the source of this 1747-nucleotide long non-coding RNA. RefSeq lists it as uncharacterized. Lineage: Eukaryota; Metazoa; Mollusca; Bivalvia; Ostreida; Ostreidae. The record is from RefSeq and is a predicted model, not a curated record. The transcript is spliced from 2 exons.